CCUCAGCCUCCGGAGGAGCUGGGAGCACAGGCUCCCGCCACCACGCCCAGCUAAUUUUUGUAUUUCUAGUAGAAACGGAGUUUCACCAGAUUGGCAAGGCUGGUGUCGAACUCCUGACCUCGGGUGAUCCGCCCGCCUUGGCCUCCCAAAGUGCUGGGAUUAUAGGUGUGAACCACCGUGCCCAGCUUCCCUCUGCCUCCCUUGUAGUUACAUUUAGACACUUGUAGUUAC
RNAcentral lists this long non-coding RNA (231 nucleotides) under Homo sapiens (human). RNAcentral describes it as "non-protein coding lnc-AKIRIN1-10:1". The record is from RNAcentral. Lineage: Eukaryota; Metazoa; Chordata; Mammalia; Primates; Hominidae.